Unclassified non-coding RNA from Myotis lucifugus (little brown bat), 321 nucleotides. Its record names the gene 7SK. It matches the Rfam family "7SK RNA". Rfam says of the family: 7SK was discovered as an abundant small nuclear RNA in the mid-70s but a possible function has only recently been suggested. Two independent studies have found that 7SK RNA binds the CDK9/cyclin T complex (known as elongation factor P-TEFb). P-TEFb activates transcription by phosphorylating the C-terminal domain of RNA polymerase II. Lineage: Eukaryota; Metazoa; Chordata; Mammalia; Chiroptera; Vespertilionidae. The record is from Ensembl.
GGAUGUGAGGGCGAUCUGGCUGCGACAUCUGUCACCCCAUUGAUCGCCAGGGUUGAUUUGGCUGAUCUGGCUGGCUAGGCGGGUGUCCCCCUCCUCCCUCACGGAUCCAUGUGUGUCCCUCCCGAAGCUGCGCGCUCGGUCGAAGAGGACGACCUUCCCCCCCGAGGAGAGGACCGGUCUUCGGUCAAGGGUAUACGAGUAGCUGCGCUCCCCUGCUAGAACCUCCAAACAAGCUCUCAAAGGUAAAGUUUGUAAAAAGUAAAAGGAUUAUCAGGUAAGGGAAUUGCCUUGAGCCACCACUAUCUCAACAGAUGAGAUGCU